GAUGAACGCUGGCGGCGUGCCUAAUACAUGCAAGUCGAGCGAACGGACGAGAAGCUUGCUUCUCUGAUGUUAGCGGCGGACGGGUGAGUAACACGUGGACAACCUACCUAUAAGACUGGGAUAACUUCGGGAAACCGGAGCUAAUACCGGAUAAUAUUUUGAACCGCAUGGGUCAAAAGUGAAAGACGGUCUUGCUGUCACUUAUAGAUGGAUCCGCGCUGCAUUAGCUAGUUGGUAAGGUAACGGCCUACCAAGGCAACGAUGCAUAGCCGACCUGAGAGGGUGAUCGGCCACACUGGGACUGAGACACGGUCCAGACUCCUACGGGAGGCAGCAGUAGGGAAUCUUCCGCAAUGGGCGAAAGCCUGACGGAGCAACGCCGCGUGAGUGAUGAAGGUCUUCGGAUCGUAAAGCUCUGUUAUUAGGGAAGAAAAUAUGUGUAAGUAACUGUGCACAUCUUGACGGUACCUAAUCAGAAAGCCACGGCUAACUACGUG
Molecule: ribosomal RNA, 497 nt
Filed under: uncultured bacterium
Lineage: Bacteria
Description: partial 16S ribosomal RNA
Rfam family: Bacterial small subunit ribosomal RNA
Source: RNAcentral